RNAcentral lists this ribosomal RNA (253 nucleotides) under uncultured bacterium. RNAcentral's name for it is "partial 16S ribosomal RNA". It matches the Rfam family "Bacterial small subunit ribosomal RNA", at positions 524 to 776 of the family's 1533-position model. The record is from RNAcentral.
UACGGGGGGGGCAAGCGUUGUUCGGAAUUACUGGGCGUAAAGCGUGCGCAGGCGGUGAUGUAAGCCAGGUGUGAAAUCCCCGGGCUUAACCUGGGAACUGCAUUUGUGACUGCAUCGCUGGAGUGCGGCAGAGGGGGAUGGAAUUCCGCGUGUAGCAGUGAAAUGCGUAGAUAUGCGGAGGAACACCGAUGGCGAAGGCAAUCCCCUGGGCCUGCACUGACGCUCAUGCACGAAAGCGUGGGGAGCAAACAGG